Molecule: long non-coding RNA, 174 nt
Organism: Cebus imitator (Panamanian white-faced capuchin)
Lineage: Eukaryota; Metazoa; Chordata; Mammalia; Primates; Cebidae
Exons: 3
Source: RefSeq, a predicted model, not a curated record
CACUCCCACUGCUGUCCAGCCCAGGCUGCCCUCUUCCACCCUGCCACCGGCCACUGGGCCUUCUUUUCCCUCCUGCAAUGGAGGCUGCUAUGCCCCACAGACUGGAGAAGGGACUGGAGGGCCAGUAAGUUCCCUCCCCUCAGUAAACACCGGCCCAGGGGUAGGUGUUAAAAU